Caretta caretta (loggerhead turtle) is the source of this 3036-nucleotide long non-coding RNA. RefSeq lists it as uncharacterized. The record is from RefSeq and is a predicted model, not a curated record. NCBI's taxonomy places the organism in Eukaryota, Metazoa, Chordata, Testudines, Cheloniidae.
ACUCCAGCGUUGAAAGGCCAAGUCAAGCCGCCGGCCUGAUGUAACAGCGCCCCCUGCAGGGGAAGGGGUGGCCUGCGGACCGCUGACCUUGGGCAGUAGUGCCCCCUGCAGGAGCGCGUUAGGCGUCCGCAGUUCGUGGCUGUUUUCUUGGGUGAAGCUGGGACGCGAGCUCUGGGCUGAUUUAUUAUACGGGGUGGAGAGGAGAGAUUCCAGUGUGGCAGGGGCCUGUGCAAAACAAUGCCCCUGUGGCUGGGUGUGUGGCCUGUGUUUGCGUGGCCCCAUGAUUUACCAGGAGAGGCUGCGGGAACUGGGGUUAUUUAGUCUGCAGAAGAGAAGAGCGAGGGGGGAUUUGAUAGCAGCCUUCAGUUACCGGAAGGGGAUGGAGCUCGGCUGUUCUCAGCGGUGGCAGAUGACAGAAGGAGGAGGAAUGGUCUCAUGUUGCAGUGGGGGAGGUCUAGGCUGGAUAUUUUAAGGUCAGGCUUGACAAAGCCCUGGCUGGGAUGAUUUAACUGGGAAUAGGUCCUGCUUUGAGCAGGGGGUUGGACUAGAUGACCUUCAGGGGUCCCUUCCAACCCUGAUAUUCUAUGAUUCUAUAUUAGGAAACACUAUUUCACUAGGAGGGUGGUGAAGCACUGGAAUGCGUUACCUAGGGAGGUGGUGGAAUCUCCAUCCUUAGAGGUUUUUAAGGCCCAGCUUGACAAAGCCCUGGCUGGGAGGAUUUAGUUGGGGGUUGGUCCUGCUUUGAGCAGGGGGUUGGACUCGAUGACCUCCUGAGGUCCCUGCCAACCCUGAUAGUCUAUAUUAGUACACUAAUGUCUGGUGCCUAAGCAGCAGCGCAGGGCAGAGGAAGGAUGCACGAUACAGCCAGUGUGGACAAGGCCAAAGGAGGGAUUGCAGAGUGUGGGAGGUGAUCCUGUCACUUCACAGACAAAGGACAGGUCCCUGGUACAGGAAGUUUACAAUCUGGAUCAGAUUGAACACAGUGAACCGCUGCGGCAGAGUGACGGAGCAAGCCGUGGGAGAAUGGAGUCACAACAGAUGGGAAGGAGCUGAUGGGACAUCUGAACACUUCCACCGGCUGUGCUGAAGUCGUUGAAGUCGUACCGGAAACUCCAGGCCAGCUAGAAUGAGCAUCUGUCCCAUACGUGGUCCGGCUCCAACAGUCUAUGUGAAUUUGCUGCCCUGGGGCCGCUGGCCACUCGGAAGGAUGCAGAGGAGCACGCUCAGAUGCAACCUUGAGAUCUCAGCCCUCUGUGUUAUCACCGGCCAAAAGACUCAAAGAAUCAGAAAGAGGCCACGUAGAAGCAAGGAAGACAUGUUGCUUGAAGUAAUGCAGCAUUCAAGUCAUGAAAAUUGAAAAGUCCCGGACUCGCGGGACAGUGAAAGGAGGAUCCGCCAGCAGAAUGCGGCACGCCGGCACAAAAAGCGCGGUGCUCCGGCAGCAAAGCCCGGAUCGGCUGAUAAGCAUAAUGGAGCACCAAGCGGACUCGAUCCAGGCGCUCGUAGCCAUGCAGGCAGAGCACCGACCCCCCACCCCCGCCGCCCUUGUCCCAAAACUCCUUCCCUUGUGCCCCCAUGUCACCUCCAACCCACUUUCCCCAACAUCUCGGUUCUUACCGCCACCAGCUGCCUCCAACACCUGUAGCUUCACCACCCAGCCCUGCAAACUGCCCACCGCACUCAGCCCCCGUCACCAGGCAGCAGAGCCAGCCCGAAGUGCAGCACUCGUUGCACAGCACUCCAGGCAGGAAGGCUGAGUAUGAGAACAGGACAUACGCAAAUCUGUGAUUGUACCGUUCCCCACCCCACCCCCUUGCCCUUUCUGUUUCCCAAGCGGUCGUGUUUCUUUUCAAAAAAUGGAUUUUUUGGCUUUAAAAACAUUCUUUAUUAUUGCAUAAAGUAAAAGAUACUUAGCCCAGGAAAGCAACAGGCACCACAAGUCAGCGGAGCAAACACAGAUUCCUACUAACGUUGGAACCACUGCACUUCACGCCCGUGCAGGGCACCAGACAUUACUGGUGGCUUUCAGCCUCAAAUUGCUCCCUCGAGGCAUCCCUAAUUCUUGCAGCCCCGCGCUGGGCCCCUCUAAUAGCCCUGCUCUCUGGCUGUUCAAAUUCAGCCUCCAGGUGUUGAACUUUCAAGUUCCAUGCCUGAGUGAAGCUUUCACCCUUCCCUUCACAAAUGUUAUGGAGGGUACAGCACACAGAUAUAACCGCGGGGAUGCUGUCAUCGGCCAGGUCCAGCUUCCCAUACAGAGAGCACCAGCGGCCCUUUAAAUGGCCAGAAGCACACUCCACAGUCAUUCUGCACUGGCUCAGCCUGCUGUUGAACCGCUCCUUGGUGCUGUCAAGGCUCCCUGUGUAGGGUUUCAUGAGCCAUGGCAUUAAAGUGUAAGCAAGGUCUCCAAGGAUCACAAUGGGCAUUUCGAUUUCCCUUACGGUGAUCUUCUGGUCUGGGAAGAAAGUCCCGUCUUGCAGCUUCCUGAACAGGCCAGUGUUCCAAAAGAUGCGUGCGUCAUGCACCUUUCCGGGCCAGCCUGCGUUAAUGUCAAUGAAACGCCCACGGUGAUCCACAAGCGCCUGGAGACCAUAGAGAAAUACCCCUUCCGAUUAACGUACUCGGAGGCUAGGUGGGCUGGUGCCGGAAUUGGAAUAUGUGUGCCAUCUAUCGCCCCUCCGCAGUUAGGGAAACCCAUUUCAUGCACAUUACCCAGAGUCACGGUUCUUCUGAGCAGGAUGUGAUUAAUGGCCCUGCAAAUUUGCAUCAACAUGAUUCCAACGGUCGACUUUCCCACUCCAAACUGGUUAGCAACUGAUCGGUAGCUGUCUGGAGUUGCCAGCUUCCAGAUUGCAACAGCCACCCGCUUCUCCACCCUCAGGGCAGCUCUCAAUCUUGUGUCCUUGCGCCGCAGGGCGGGGGCGAGCUCCUCACACAGUCCCAUGAAAGUGCCUUUUCUCAGCCGAAGGUUCUGCAGCCACUGCCCGUUAUCCCAGAUGUGCCUGACGAUGUGAUCCCACCGCUCAGUGCUUGUUCCCG